RNAcentral lists this unclassified non-coding RNA (317 nucleotides) under rhizosphere metagenome. RNAcentral's name for it is "partial ribosomal RNA internal transcribed spacer region". The record is from RNAcentral.
GUAGGUGAACCUGCGGAAGGAUCAUUAGUCGAUUGAUAUUGAUUUCACGCCUACUGAUGCGUUCAGCAUCAGCAACGAGCCAGCGAGUUGUGUCGAGUCGAUGCGUCCAGCAUCGAAGUUGACUCGUUCGAUGCGUCCAGCAUCGAUGAGCGAUGAGCAGUAAGAUGCGUCCAUUCGAUGCGUCCAGCGUCGAUGAACACCAUCUAUGCACACUCACCACUCACACUCACACUCACCACUCACUCGGCACAAAUACUCAACAUUGACAACCAGAUACAUUACAUGAGCACCUUGCUGCAAUGGAUCUCUCGGCUCUU